This 207-nucleotide ribosomal RNA is filed under the name uncultured bacterium. RNAcentral describes it as "partial 16S ribosomal RNA". It matches the Rfam family "Bacterial small subunit ribosomal RNA", at positions 568 to 774 of the family's 1533-position model. The record is from RNAcentral.
CACGCAGGCGGCCAACCAAGUCUGACGUGAAAGCUCCUGGCUUAACUGGGAGAGGUCGUUGGAAACUGAUUGGCUUGAGGCAAUGAGAGGGGUACGGAAUUCCAGGUGUAGUGGUGGAAUGCGUAGAUAUCUGGAGGAACAUCAGUGGCGAAAGCGGUACCCUGGCAUUGACCUGACGCUCAUGUGCGAAAGCGUGGGGAGUGAACG